GCCCGGAUGGCGGAAUCGGUAGACGCGCUGGUCUCAAACACCAGUAGGUUCACCCCUGUGCCGGUUCGACCCCGGCUCCGGGUACAA
RNAcentral lists this transfer RNA (87 nucleotides) under Muribaculaceae bacterium M3. RNAcentral's name for it is "tRNA-Leu". It matches the Rfam family "tRNA". From Rfam's summary of the family: Transfer RNA (tRNA) molecules are approximately 80 nucleotides in length. Their secondary structure includes four short double-helical elements and three loops (D, anti-codon, and T loops). The record is from RNAcentral. Lineage: Bacteria; Pseudomonadati; Bacteroidota; Bacteroidia; Bacteroidales; Muribaculaceae. RNAcentral also lists the same sequence under 1 other name.